CGCUGGCGGCAUGCCUUANACAUGCAAGUCGAACGGCAGCACGGGAGCAAUCCUGGUGGCGAGUGGCGAACGGGUGAGUAAUAUAUCGGAACGUGCCCAGUCGUGGGGGAUAACGUAGCGAAAGCUACGCUAAUACCGCAUACGAUCUAUGGAUGAAAGCGGGGGAUCGCAAGACCUCGCGCGAUUGGAGCGGCCGAUAUCAGAUUAGGUAGUUGGUGAGGUAAAGGCUCACCAAGCCGACGAUCUGUAGCUGGUCUGAGAGGACGACCAGCCACACUGGGACUGAGACACGGCCCAGACUCCUACGGGAGGCAGCAGUGGGGAAUUUUGGACAAUGGGCGCAAGCCUGAUCCAGCAAUGCCGCGUGCAGGAUGAAGGCCUUCGGGUUGUAAACUGCUUUUGUACGGAACGAAACGGUGAGCUCUAAUACAGUUUGCUAAUGACGUGUACCUGAAGAAUAAGCAUCGGCUAACUCCGUG
This 479-nucleotide ribosomal RNA is filed under the name uncultured bacterium. Its description in RNAcentral is "bacterial SSU rRNA". It matches the Rfam family "Bacterial small subunit ribosomal RNA", at positions 34 to 507 of the family's 1533-position model. The record is from RNAcentral.